This 379-nucleotide ribosomal RNA is filed under the name uncultured archaeon. Its description in RNAcentral is "bacterial SSU rRNA". It matches the Rfam family "Archaeal small subunit ribosomal RNA", at positions 471 to 851 of the family's 1478-position model. The record is from RNAcentral.
UAAUACCAGCGGUCCGAGUGGGACUCGCAAUUACUGGGUCUAAAACAUCCGUAGCUGGUCUUGAAAGUUUCUUGUUAAAUUGUUGCGCUCAACGCAAUAGCUGCAAGAAAUACUGUAAGACUAGAGACUGGGAGACGUAGCGAGUACAAUAAGGGUAGUGGUAAAAUGUGUUAAUCCUUACUGGACUAACAAUGGCGAAGGCACGCUACGAGAACAGAUCUGACAGUCAGGGAUGAAAGCGAGGGGCGCAAAACGGAUUAGAUACCCGUGUAGUCCUCGCCGUAAACACUGCCUAUUAAACAUCAUGAUCUCUUCGAGAGAUGGUGGUGCUGUAAUGAAGAUGGAAAUAGGCUACCUGGGAAGUAUAGUCGCAAGACCG